GUGCUGCUCAAGAGUCCAAAACUAGGACGAAACAGCUGUCCAGUAC
RNAcentral lists this non-coding RNA (46 nucleotides) under Trichobilharzia regenti. The record is from RNAcentral. Lineage: Eukaryota; Metazoa; Platyhelminthes; Trematoda; Strigeidida; Schistosomatidae.